GUGGGUACAGCUCAGUGGUAAAGCACGUGCUUAGCAUGUGUGAGGUCCUGGGUUCAAUUUCCAGUCCCUGCA
Molecule: transfer RNA, 72 nt
Filed under: Camelus bactrianus (Bactrian camel)
Lineage: Eukaryota; Metazoa; Chordata; Mammalia; Artiodactyla; Camelidae
Also listed under: 2 other names
Rfam family: tRNA
About the family: Transfer RNA (tRNA) molecules are approximately 80 nucleotides in length. Their secondary structure includes four short double-helical elements and three loops (D, anti-codon, and T loops).
Source: Rfam by way of RNAcentral